Amborella trichopoda is the source of this 696-nucleotide long non-coding RNA. RefSeq lists it as uncharacterized. The record is from RefSeq and is a predicted model, not a curated record. Lineage: Eukaryota; Viridiplantae; Streptophyta; Magnoliopsida; Amborellales; Amborellaceae.
GAGAGAGAGAGAAAAACUCAUUUUUAGAGAUAGAGAAAGAAAAAGCACUGGAGAAGUAGGGGAAAGUGUUGGGACGAAGAAGCUCUAGAAGAGAGAGAGAGAGAAACCCAUUUAGGCACGCCAGAUAAUCCCACUCAUGAGAAAGAUAGACUAAGCCCAUCGCUCGAGGAGAAGGAGAAACACAGAAAAAAAAGAUGUUUUGUAUCGAUGAAUCCACUCAAGCCUUGUCAAAAUGGAAGCUUAAUUGGCGAAAGAUAGAGCUUAUCAAAAAGAGGAUUCCAGGCGUUAUGUAGUUGUUGCUCAUGAAUUGUUAGUAAAGAACACACCAGUUGCACUAGAGAAGAGUGAAGGGUGAUGAGGAGGAUAGUGAAAGCAAAGAGGAUGGUGAGGAGCAAAAUGGAGGAAGGGAGAGUGAAGCCGAGGAGGACGAUGAGACGAGAACAAAGUCUAGAGAAGACCAGUAUUACGGUCUUGCUAUGCCUGAGGAACCCAGAUGGGAACGUCGACCAAAGGUGAAAGGCAAGGGUGUACUUAGAUGGGGGCCUCUUACAUAUUUGUAAUUUAAAGACUAGUAGUUGGAUAUGUGCAAACUCAAUUUUGUAGGCACAUUUUGAUGUAGUGCCUUGCCCUCAAACUCUGCCUAUUAUUAACAUCUAUUUAAGACAGUAACCUUUCUCAAAUGAAUUCUAUUUCUCA